CAGAAGCAAAGCUUUAAAUCAAUAACUUUAACUAUGCUGAUGGAAAACAUAAUUCAAAUUCUGAUAAAACAUUAGAAAAAUAUAUAAUAGACAACGAAGAGUAACAAAAAUAUAAUCCACAUUGUUUGGCCCAAUUAAAGGAGACUACAGAAUAGAAGAAAAUUUGAUUUGGGAAAUCUAUAUUCUAAAUUAAUUAUUGAACAUCAGGUGCUAGCAAAGAAGCCAAUGGAUG
RNAcentral lists this unclassified non-coding RNA (232 nucleotides) under Hevea brasiliensis (rubber tree). Lineage: Eukaryota; Viridiplantae; Streptophyta; Magnoliopsida; Malpighiales; Euphorbiaceae. The record is from RNAcentral.